RNAcentral lists this ribosomal RNA (608 nucleotides) under Trichoderma asperellum. RNAcentral describes it as "eukaryotic LSU rRNA". The stretch from base 220 to 373 matches the Rfam family "5.8S ribosomal RNA". Lineage: Eukaryota; Fungi; Ascomycota; Sordariomycetes; Hypocreales; Hypocreaceae. The record is from RNAcentral.
AAAAGGGUCUCGUUGGUGACCAGCGGAGGGACAUUACCGAGUUUACAACUCCCAAACCCAAUGUGAACGUUACCAAACUGUUGCCUCGGCGGGGUCACGCCCCGGGUGCGUCGCAGCCCCGGAACCAGGCGCCCGCCGGAGGAACCAACCAAACUCUUUCUGUAGUCCCCUCGCGGACGUAUUUCUUACAGCUCUGAGCAAAAAUUCAAAAUGAAUCAAAACUUUCAACAACGGAUCUCUUGGUUCUGGCAUCGAUGAAGAACGCAGCGAAAUGCGAUAAGUAAUGUGAAUUGCAGAAUUCAGUGAAUCAUCGAAUCUUUGAACGCACAUUGCGCCCGCCAGUAUUCUGGCGGGCAUGCCUGUCCGAGCGUCAUUUCAACCCUCGAACCCCUCCGGGGGAUCGGCGUUGGGGAUCGGGACCCCUCACACGGGUGCCGGCCCCGAAAUACAGUGGCGGUCUCGCCGCAGCCUCUCCUGCGCAGUAGUUUGCACAACUCGCACCGGGAGCGCGGCGCGUCCACGUCCGUAAAACACCCAACUUUCUGAAAUGUUGACCUCGGAUCAGGUAGGAAUACCCGCUGAACUUAAGCAUAUCAAUAAGCGGAGGA